UACGUAGGGAGCAAGCGUUGUCCGGAAUCAUUGGGCGUAAAGCGCGCGUAGGUGGCUUCGUAAGUCCGUUGUGAAAGUCAAAGGCUCAACCUUUGAAAGCCGAUGGAUACUGCGGAGCUAGAGUACGGAAGAGGCGAGUGGAAUUCCUGGUGUAGCGGUGGAAUGCGCAGAUAUCGGGAGGAACACCAAUAGCGAAGGCAGCUCGCUGGGACGUUACUGACACUGAGGCGCGAAAGCGUGGGGAGCGAACAGG
Molecule: ribosomal RNA, 253 nt
Filed under: uncultured bacterium
Lineage: Bacteria
Description: partial 16S ribosomal RNA
Rfam family: Bacterial small subunit ribosomal RNA
Source: RNAcentral